CGAAAGUUUCAGGAUCCGUUUUCCCCUUGCAAAUACCCUCGCUCUUGGGGGGAGACAGGGGAGAAGGAGGAAGGGGAAAUAUUUCCCCGGAUCUCUAGCUCCCUCAGCUCCAGGCAGGCCUGUGGUGCCGCGUCUGAGACCCGGGACCGAGACCGCCAGUCGGGGCUGCUCGCCAUGACCUUAAAGUUCUCUGGCCGCCGAAAAGGGCCGAGAGACAGCUGGGCAGGUAGACAGAAGCAGACACAAAGAAAGGGACCCUCGAAGGCGACCAGAGAGAAGAUAGAGAACGCAAAGAGCGAAGUGAAACAGCCGGACAGGAGGCAGGAGGCGGGCAGGUGGAGCGGCCAAAACCCGCGUGCUGAGAAGGGCCCAGAGGGGCCUCGGAAGCGACCAGGCGCGUCUCCCUUCCCACUUUACCUGGAGGUUAAUGACCUCGUUAGCGCCCCCUCGUUCCAAACCGCCCAUUUACAACUCCUCGGUUUUCUCGAGGCUCUCUGAUUAAUUAGCCGGUUCGGCAGGAUAGAGGUGCCCCUCCGCCGGGACCUGGCGGCGUUGCUCUAGAUGGUUUCUCAAUUGCGGGGAGGAAGGGCGCAUCCGGGGAGGGGAAAUGGGGGGUGAAUGGUGCUGGCGCCUGCGGCCUGGAGGGAGUAGAUGAACGGUUCGUGAGCUGCAGCCGAACGCUAAGACCCAGAGACUAGGACCCACUCCCCCUCGGAUCAGGACAGCAGGAAGGAGAUGCUCAUUGGGAACUGGUGCCCGCCCCAGACUCUGCAGUCCCCGCGGCCGAGACCCCGCUUGCGGCGAGGCGCUGGGUCAGCGUUUACAGCCACUCCCAGCGCUGGUGGCUGGACAGAGCCCCCUACCCCACCUCAUCUCCGCCCAUCAGACAGCAGAGGUUGUAAGAAUACAGGCCCUUGGCGUUGUGGCGUCCAAGGGGCACCUGUGUACUUGCGAUCUCCCUUCUACCCUGAAUUGCCACUGCCGAAUUUGAAAGCCGCCUUUCUAAUCCCUCUGCCAGGCUCCCGCCUCCGGAGGGCCAGGGCUCCGAGCUAGGCCCUCCCAGACUUCCAGGUUCCACCCCUGCGGCGCCAACCUGCGGCUGGGCUGUCGGCGGAUGGGGCUGGAGGGGCGCGGGGCCCGGAGGUGCCCCUGACCCUGCUCCCGACGCCAACUUUGCGCUCGGGCUCGCCACCUCCCGGACUGGGGACCUUCCUGUCCUCCUACCCGCAGCAGGUAGGCAGUCGCGGGGCAGGCCAGCGGCUUGCGCUGAGAUCUUCACUCUGAACCCAGCCCGGAGGCGAAGGUGCUGAUCCCCAGGGAGUACCGCGGGGCGCGCGCCGUCGGAGACUGCUGCGCUGGCCCAGCGCAAGAGAACCCUAGACAGGACUUGGGUACGUCCCGCGCAGUCUCAAGUACGUCCGGGAUCGGGGACUGAGGGCGCAGCGGUCGGUCUCCAACCCCUCACCACGACCUCUGCGACUAUCUCAAUCGCCACGCGCGACCUGGUCCCACAGCAGCGGUGCGGUCUCUCCCAGGAGCCAGUCACUCAGGAGCCGCAAGGCAGGGGCAUCUCAGCCCCGGAGGCGCCUCGGAGGAAAAAGGUUGCUGUGAGGAGCAUCCUUCCCUCCGGUUCAUCUCGGAGCCUAGGAGCCGGGAUCCCCGGGGCCAAGGGGCGAAGGGACUAGGAAAAGGUUCUUGAGGCGGGAUCUAAGGUUACUGAGAUGUUUCUUCUUUUCUAAGGGGAAGAUUCGCCUAUGCUACCAUCUGUUGCCAAUCUUCCUCUUUCUUCUUCCUUUUUCUCCCUCCCUCCAAAGCCCCAGUACAUAGUUGUACUAAGUUCUUCUAGUUCUUCCAUGUGAUCCACCACCACUAACAGACAAGUGGUGUGAACGGUUCUGCGCCUGGGAAUCAAACCCAGCCCGCCAAAGCAGAUCGUGCUGAACUUUAACUGCUGGGCCAUCAGGGCUGGCUCUGAAGAUGUUCUGCCAAUGGAAUGGAAGCAGUCCAGAGUAGGGAAGAGAGAGCCACAUCCUGUCUGGAAUCGGACAUCCAUCCCCUCAUCUCUGGCUGGGUUCAUGGGGACACAGCUAACCUCAAGGUCAAAGUUCUCCCACCACCAACCUUAGCUCCUGCCCUAGCCUUGCCUGCCCCUUUCCAGAACCCUCCUCUCCUGGGUAGGGAGAAACUGGAGUCUGCCCCAGCCAUACCUCCCCUGUUGUUAAGGAGGGGACCUGAAGCUGGAGGUUCGACUUUCCCUUGGUACCUUCUUCCACUACCAACAGCAGGACAAAUGUGGUCCCACUGGACUACACUGUCCCUGGAGGCUGCACAAUCCAGGCUGUUGGGGGGUCCCUGCCCUUGGGAAUUCAGCUCCUGGAGGCAAAUGGAUAUUGGGCCUUGAGAAGAUCCAAAGAAGUCUAGAGAACCACUCCCGUCUCUGUUGCUUCGUGCUGUGGAGGUGGUAUCGGGCAGGGUCUGCACACAUCUGGAAGGGCAGCCUGGACCAAACCUUUGAUGAGACUCUGCUCCAAAAACAAGAUGCAAUGCCUGGUCUCUCCUGGUGUGUGAGCCCUUUGGUGGCCUGGUUUUGGACUUAUCCUCCAAGCCUUCCCCAGGCACAUACUCUCUCUGCUUCUCUCUCUCUCUCUUUUGCACUGUCUCACUUUCUAUGUCUCCUUCUUUUUCAUCUUUUUAUUUUCUUCUUUUUCCUUCAUCUUUUUU
This 2721-nucleotide long non-coding RNA is filed under the name Equus asinus (donkey). RNAcentral describes it as "lncRNA (ENSEASG00005026630.1)". Lineage: Eukaryota; Metazoa; Chordata; Mammalia; Perissodactyla; Equidae. The record is from RNAcentral.